RNAcentral lists this ribosomal RNA (408 nucleotides) under uncultured bacterium. RNAcentral describes it as "partial 16S ribosomal RNA". It matches the Rfam family "Bacterial small subunit ribosomal RNA", at positions 28 to 526 of the family's 1533-position model. The record is from RNAcentral.
GACGAACGCUGGCGGCGUGCUUAACACAUGCAAGUCGAACGAAGUGGCGAACGGGUGAGUAACGUGUAAUCAACCUGCCCUUCAGAGGGGGACAACAGUUGGAAACGACUGCUAAUACCGCAUACUGAAGGAGGGGAUUGCGUCUGAUUAGCUAGUUGGGGGGGUAACGGCCCACCAAGGCGAUGAUCAGUAGCCGGGCGGAGAGGUUGAGCGGCCAAAUUGGGACGGAGACACGGCCCAGACUCCUACGGGAGGGAGCAGGAGGGAAUCUUCCGCAAUGGACGGAAGUCUGACGGAGCAACGCCGCGUGAGUGAUGACGGCCUUCGGGUUGUAAAGCUCUGUUAAUCGGGACGCGGUACCGGAAUAGAAAGCCACGGCUAACUACGUGCCAGCAGCCGCGGUAAUAC